ACCGGGCGUGGUGCCGCGUGCUUGGAGUCCCAGCUACUAGGGAGGCUGAGGUGGGAGGAUCGCUUGAGUCCAGGAAUUCUGGGCUGCAGUGCACUAUGCCGAUCGGGUGUCCGCACGGCGUUCGGCAUCAAUAUAGUGACCUCCCGGGAGCGGGGGACUACCGGGUUGCCUAAGGAGGGGCGAACCGGCCCAGGUCGGAAACGGAGCAGGUCACAACUCCCAUGCUGGUCAGUAGUGGGAUCGUGCCUGUGAAUAGCCACUGCACUCCAGCCUGGGCAACAUAGAGAGACCCUGUCUCU
Molecule: signal recognition particle RNA, 299 nt
Filed under: Cebus imitator (Panamanian white-faced capuchin)
Lineage: Eukaryota; Metazoa; Chordata; Mammalia; Primates; Cebidae
Description: Metazoan signal recognition particle RNA (ENSCCAG00000002543.1)
Rfam family: Metazoan signal recognition particle RNA
About the family: The signal recognition particle (SRP) is a universally conserved ribonucleoprotein. It is involved in the co-translational targeting of proteins to membranes. The eukaryotic SRP consists of a 300-nucleotide 7S RNA and six proteins: SRPs 72, 68, 54, 19, 14, and 9.
Source: RNAcentral